RNAcentral lists this ribosomal RNA (768 nucleotides) under uncultured bacterium. RNAcentral describes it as "bacterial SSU rRNA". It matches the Rfam family "Bacterial small subunit ribosomal RNA", at positions 28 to 776 of the family's 1533-position model. The record is from RNAcentral.
GACGAACGCUGGCGGCGUGCCUAAUACAUGCAAGUCGAGCGAAGUUUUUCUGGUGCUUGCACUAGAAAAACUUAGCGGCGAACGGGUGAGUAACACGUAAAGAACCUGCCUCAUAGACUGGGACAACUAUUGGAAACGAUAGCUAAUACCGGAUAACAGCAUUAACUGCAUGGUUGAUGUUUAAAAGUUGGUUUUGCUAACACUAUGAGAUGGCUUUGCGGUGCAUUAGCUAGUUGGUGGGGUAAAGGCCUACCAAGGCGACGAUGCAUAGCCGACCUGAGAGGGUGAUCGGCCACACUGGGACUGAGACACGGCCCAGACUCCUACGGGAGGCAGCAGUAGGGAAUCUUCCGCAAUGGGCGAAAGCCUGACGGAGCAACGCCGCGUGAGUGAAGAAGGAUUUCGGUUCGUAAAGCUCUGUUAUUAGGGAAGAAUGAUUGUGUAGUAACUAUACACAGUAGAGACGGUACCUAACCAGAAAGCCACGGCUAACUACGUGCCAGCAGCCGCGGUAAUACGUAGGUGGCAAGCGUUGUCCGGAAUUAUUGGGCGUAAAGCGCGCGCAGGUGGUUUAAUAAGUCUGAUGUGAAAGCCCACGGCUCAACCGUGGAGGGUCAUUGGAAACUGUUAAACUUGAGUGCAGGAGAGAAAAGUGGAAUUCCUAGUGUAGCGGUGAAAUGCGUAGAGAUUAGGAGGAACACCAGUGGCGAAGGCGGCUUUUUGGCCUGUAACUGACACUGAGGCGCGAAAGCGUGGGGAGCAAACAGG